AGCAGCCGCGGUAAUUCCAGCUCCAAUAGCGUAUAUUAAAGUUGUUGCAGUUAAAAGCUCGUAGUUGAAUUUCGGGACCAAUCUGCCGGUCGUGCCUCCGGUACGCACUGGUUUUAUUGGUCUCUCCCUUCUGACGAACCAUGAUGUCAUUAAUUUGGUGUCAUGGGGAAUCAGGACUGUUACUUUGAAAAAAUUAGAGUGUUUAUAGCAGGCUCACGCUUGAAUACAUUAGCAUGGAAUAAUGAAAUAGGACGUUUGACUCUAUUUUGUUGGUUUCUAGGAUCGACGUAAUGAUUAAUAGGGAUAGUUGGGGGCAUUAGUAUUCAAUUGUCAGAGGUGAAAUUCUUGGAUUUAUUGAAGACUAACUACUGCGAAAGCAUUUGCCAAGGAUGUUUUCAUUAAUCAAGAACGAAAGUUAGGGGAUCGAAGACGAUCAGAUACCGUCGUAGUCUUAACCAUAAACUAUGCCGACUAGGGAUCGGAUGAUGUUAUUUUUUAAUGACUCAUUCGGCGCCUUAUG
RNAcentral lists this ribosomal RNA (520 nucleotides) under uncultured Glomus. RNAcentral's name for it is "SSU rRNA". It matches the Rfam family "Eukaryotic small subunit ribosomal RNA", at positions 569 to 1092 of the family's 1831-position model. The record is from RNAcentral. Lineage: Eukaryota; Fungi; Glomeromycota; Glomeromycetes; Glomerales; Glomeraceae.